AGAGUUUGAUCCUGGCUCAGAAUCAACGCUGGCGGCGUGCCUAACACAUGCAGGUCGAACGCGAAAGCCCCGCAAGGGGUGAGUAGAGUGGCGAACGGGUGAGUAACGCGUGGGUGACCUACCUUCGAGUGGGGGACAACGUUUCGAAAGGAACGCUAAUACCGCAUCACAUCCCGCCUUUGGACAGGUGGUGAUCAAAGCUGGGGACCGCAAGGCCUGGCGCUUGGAGAGGGGCCCGCGUCCGAUUAGCUAGUUGGUAGGGUAAUGGCCUACCAAGGCGACGAUCGGUAGCCGGCCUGAGAGGGCGGACGGCCACACUGGGACUGAGACACGGCCCAGACUCCUACGGGAGGCAGCAGUGGGGAAUUGUUCGCAAUGGGCGCAAGCCUGACGACGCAACGCCGCGUGGAGGACGAAGAUUUUCGGAUCGUAAACUCCUGUCGAGCGGGACGAAACCCUUGAAGGUCAACACCCUUUGAGGCUGACGGUACCGCGAGAGAGCCC
RNAcentral lists this ribosomal RNA (504 nucleotides) under uncultured Acidobacteriaceae bacterium. RNAcentral's name for it is "bacterial SSU rRNA". It matches the Rfam family "Bacterial small subunit ribosomal RNA", at positions 8 to 493 of the family's 1533-position model. Lineage: Bacteria; Pseudomonadati; Acidobacteriota; Terriglobia; Terriglobales; Acidobacteriaceae. The record is from RNAcentral.